GAUGAACGCUGGCGGCGUGCCUAAUACAUGCAAGUCGAGCGGACAGACGAGGAGCUCUCCUGGCUGACGCUAGGGGCGGACGGGUGAGUAACACGUGGAUACCCUACAUUUAAGGCUAACAUAACUUCGGGAAACCGGAUACAACACCGGAUAAUAUAUUGAACGUCAUGGUUCUUUAGUGAAAGACGGUUUUGAUGACACUGAUAGAUGGUACCGCGCUGCAUUAGUUAGUUGGUAAGGUAACGGCUUACCAAGGCAACGAUGCGUAGCUGACCUGAGAGGAUGAUCAGCCACACUGGAACUGAGACACGGUCCAGACUCCUACGGGAGGCAGCAGUGGGGAAUCUUCGACAAUGGGCGAAAGCUUGACCGAGCAACGCCGCGUGAGUGAAGAAGGUCUUCGGAUCGUAAAGCUCUUUUAUUUGGGAAGAAGAAAAGUAAAUUAAACUCUGCCCGUUUUGACGGUACCUAAUGAAUAAGCCACGGCUAACUACGUG
Molecule: ribosomal RNA, 497 nt
Filed under: uncultured bacterium
Lineage: Bacteria
Description: partial 16S ribosomal RNA
Rfam family: Bacterial small subunit ribosomal RNA
Source: RNAcentral